AUUGAACGCUGGCGGCAGGCCUAACACAUGCAAGUCGAACGGUAACAGGAAGCAGCUUGCUGCUUCGCUGACGAGUGGCGGACGGGUGAGUAAUGUCUGGGAAACUGCCUGAUGGAGGGGGAUAACUACUGGAAACGGUGGCUAAUACCGCAUAACGUCGCAAGACCAAAGAGGGGGACCUUAGGGCCUCUUGCCAUCGGAUGUGCCCAGAUGGGAUUAGCUAGUAGGUGGGGUAACGGCUCACCUAGGCGACGAUCCCUAGCUGGUCUGAGAGGAUGACCAGCCACACUGGAACUGAGACACGGUCCAGACUCCUACGGGAGGCAGCAGUGGGGAAUAUUGCACAAUGGGCGCAAGCCUGAUGCAGCCAUGCCGCGUGUAUGAAGAAGGCCUUCGGGUUGUAAAGUACUUUCAGCGGGGAGGAAGGGAGUAAAGUUAAUACCUUUGCUCAUUGACGUUACCCGCAGAAGAAGCGCCGGCUAACUCCGUG
This 490-nucleotide ribosomal RNA is filed under the name uncultured bacterium. Its description in RNAcentral is "partial 16S ribosomal RNA". It matches the Rfam family "Bacterial small subunit ribosomal RNA", at positions 30 to 507 of the family's 1533-position model. The record is from RNAcentral.